RNAcentral lists this ribosomal RNA (497 nucleotides) under uncultured bacterium. RNAcentral's name for it is "partial 16S ribosomal RNA". It matches the Rfam family "Bacterial small subunit ribosomal RNA", at positions 28 to 507 of the family's 1533-position model. The record is from RNAcentral.
GACGAACGCUGGCGGCGUGCCUAAUACAUGCAAGUUGAGCGAUGAAGAUUGGUGCCUGCACCAAUUUGAAGAGCAGCGAACGGGUGAGUAACGCGUGGGGAAUCUGCCUUUGAGCGGGGGACAACAUUUGGAAACGAAUGCUAAUACCGCAUAACAACUUUAAACAUAAGUUUUAAGUUUGAAAGAUGCAAUUGCAUCACUCAAAGAUGAUCCCGCGUUGUAUUAGCUAGUUGGUGAGGUAAAGGCUCACCAAGGCGAUGAUACAUAGCCGACCUGAGAGGGUGAUCGGCCACAUUGGGACUGAGGCACGGCCCAAACUCCUACGGGAGGCAGCAGUAGGGAAUCUUCGGCAAUGGACGAAAGUCUGACCGAGCAACGCCGCGUGAGUGAAGAAGGUUUUCGGAUCGUAAAACUCUGUUGGUAGAGAAGAACGUUGGUGAGAGUGGAAAGCUCAUCAAGUGACGGUAACUACCCAGAAAGGGACGGCUAACUACGUG